UACGGGAGGCAGCAGUGAGGAAUAUUGGUCAAUGGACGAGAGUCUGAACCAGCCAAAUCGCGUGAAGGAAGACUGCCCUACGGGUUGUAAACUUCUUUUGUACAGGAAUAAAAGACAUUACGUGUAAUGUAUGCAUGUACUUACG
RNAcentral lists this ribosomal RNA (145 nucleotides) under Dysgonomonas sp. enrichment culture clone YYS5. Its description in RNAcentral is "partial 16S ribosomal RNA". It matches the Rfam family "Bacterial small subunit ribosomal RNA", at positions 340 to 484 of the family's 1533-position model. The record is from RNAcentral. Lineage: Bacteria; Pseudomonadati; Bacteroidota; Bacteroidia; Bacteroidales; Dysgonomonadaceae.